GAUGAAGAACGUAGCGAAAUGCGAUAAGUAAUGUGAAUUGCAGAAUUCAGUGAAUCAUCGAAUCUUUGAACGCACCUUGCGCCCUUUGGCCAUUCCGAAGGGCAUGCCUGUUUGAGUAUCAUGAACACCUCAACUCUUUAUGGUUUUCCAUGAUGAGCUUGGACUCUGGGGGUUUUGCUGGCUCACAGUCGGCUCCUCUAAAAUGAAUCAGCUUACCAGUGUUUGGUGGGUAUCAUGGGUGUGAUAACUAUCUACGCUUGUGGUUUUUCCACCAGGUAACCUUCAGCAGUGGAGGUUCGCUGGAGCUCAUAGAUGUCUCUCCUCAGUGUGGACAGCCCUUUGAAUGUUUGAUCUCAAAUCAGGUAGGACUACCCGCUGAACUUAAGCAUAUCAAUAAGCGGAGGA
Molecule: unclassified non-coding RNA, 405 nt
Filed under: soil metagenome
Description: partial contains 5.8S ribosomal RNA, internal transcribed spacer 2, and large subunit ribosomal RNA
Rfam family: 5.8S ribosomal RNA (bases 1-121)
Source: RNAcentral